CUAACCCUCAUCCACUCUCAUUUCUUUCCCUCUGCAUUCCCCACACCCGCGGCGGCGGCGGCGGCGGCAUCUCGCUUCCGCGGCCGGUAGCCCUGAUCGGCGUCGGCACCUCUCUAGGCGUCGGCGGCAGGCUUCCCCACCCCGAAAGCAGCCGCGACGGUACUCCCGCACCACCUCCCGCCUUUCUGCUGCCUCGCAUCGCCUCCCGCCGCCGCUACAUCCUCCGUCCACUCGCUGCUUCAUCUGAUGUUGCCUCCCAUAAUCCACAGCAGCGCUCCAUAUGGUGGUGCAGCGCUUGAUCCGGAGCAGCUCCGAUGCUGGACACGAUGGCCAGGAGCAACUCAGCCCAUUUCGACAUUUUCCCCAAUUCUCCUCCCCAUCUAACCCUAAUCACCUAAUACCCAAACCCUAGACACGGGAGCCGAGCAAGAGGAGGCGUACGGGUGCGGCGGCGGCGAGCCGCCGAGCCGGCGACUGCGGCGCUGGCGCGGCCGCACGACUCGUCGGCGCAGGGCUGCAGGGUCCCCCAGGAGCAGGUCCGCGGUUGGGCCGGAGAGCGUGGCUGCGUGGCGUUUGACGGCGACGGCCCGUACACGGGCGUGUCGGACGGGAGGGUGCUCAAGUGGAUUCCCCUGGAGUGCCGAUGGGUCGAGCACUCAUCCGCCAGCCACAACAGUUGCUAGGCUCCUCCCCAUCACCCUCGGGCAGGUGUUUCAGAGGAUCGAUGUUGUUAGCAAGGACUUCGGCAACAUCGUCGAUGUCGAGCUCGGCGGGCCAUGGCUGCUGCUGCCAGUGGAGGUGAUGGCAACACUGGCUCACAAGUUUGGGAUCAUCGGUGAAGUUGGUUUCUGUGUUCAAUGUUAAUGUUGAUGUUGGGGCUAUUUGUAAUGAAGUUGGUAUCUGUGUUCAAUGUUUAUGUUGGUCCUAUUUGUAAUGUGUGCAAAGUUCUAAUUGUUGCUCCAAAUGGGCCAAUGCUAAAAAUUUUCUAGAACUAAUAGUGGACUGGGCCACAACUAGAUGUAAAAUGUGUGGCCAAAUGGGUUGGGCCAGAACAAAUGAGUGGACCUGAAUCCUUAAUGUGUUUGACACGUGUCAUCAAAACAUAUUAACACGUGGCUGUAUCAGGUAA
This is a non-coding RNA of Oryza sativa Japonica Group (Japanese rice), 1129 nucleotides long. Lineage: Eukaryota; Viridiplantae; Streptophyta; Magnoliopsida; Poales; Poaceae. The record is from RefSeq and is a predicted model, not a curated record.